GAACGCACAUUGCGCCCGCCAGCAUUCUGGCGGGCAUGCCUGUUCGAGCGUCAUUUCAACCCUCGACAUCCCUUUGGGGAAGUCGGCGUUGGGGACCGGCAGCACCGCCGGCCCCGAAAUUGAGUGGCGGCCCGUCCGCGGCGACCUCUGCGUAGUAAUCCAACCUCGCACCGGAACCCCGACGUGGCCACGCCGUAAAACACCCAACUUUCUGAACGUUGACCUCGGAUCAGGUAGGAAUACCCGCUGAACUUAAG
This 257-nucleotide unclassified non-coding RNA is filed under the name uncultured Lecanicillium. RNAcentral describes it as "sequence contains 5.8S rRNA gene". The stretch from base 1 to 53 matches the Rfam family "5.8S ribosomal RNA", at positions 102 to 154 of the family's 154-position model. The record is from RNAcentral. Lineage: Eukaryota; Fungi; Ascomycota; Sordariomycetes; Hypocreales; Cordycipitaceae.